UACGUAGGGUGCAAGCGUUAAUCGGAAUUACUGGGCGUAAAGCGUGCGCAGGCGGUUUUUUAAGCCAGAUGUGAAAUCCCCGAGCUUAACUUGGGAACUGCAUUUGGGACUGGAAGGCUAGAGUACGGCAGAGGGGGGUGGAAUUCCACGUGUAGCAGUGAAAUGCGUAGAUAUCUGGAGGAACACCAAUGGCGAAGGCAGCUCGCUGGGACGGUACUGACGCUGAGACGCGAAAGCGUGGGGAGCAAACAGG
Molecule: ribosomal RNA, 253 nt
Filed under: uncultured bacterium
Lineage: Bacteria
Description: partial 16S ribosomal RNA
Rfam family: Bacterial small subunit ribosomal RNA
Source: RNAcentral